Molecule: long non-coding RNA, 567 nt
Organism: Carya illinoinensis
Lineage: Eukaryota; Viridiplantae; Streptophyta; Magnoliopsida; Fagales; Juglandaceae
Exons: 2
Source: RefSeq, a predicted model, not a curated record
UUUCAUAAAAAUGAAUUAUACUUUUAACCAGAUAUGUUUGGCCUUUGUAAGAACCUUUUGAAUCAAACUAGUGAUUCAAAAGGUUUUCGAUGGCUUACACGACGUUUUCUUAUAUAUAUGCUGUCCCAUGUUUAUUUGUGUUCAUUAGGUUCUUUCUUCAGUUAAAUGUUAGGGUAAAUGAACCAUAACUAUGUAGCCCUAUUCCUAAUAGAUUGACCCCAAAAUAGCAUAUCCAAAUUAUAAGAAAUCCCAUAGAGGCUACAAUUGCAGAAUUUACAACCUCAAAAUCUUUAUUUGUUCGAAUAUGUAAAUAAAUCACGAAUACGGUCCAAGUAAUAAAUGCCCAAGUUUCUUUCGGAUCCCAAUUCCAAUAUGAGCCCCAUGCCUCAUUUGCCCAUACUGCUCUCGAAAGAAUACCUAUGGUUAAAAAGAUAAAACCUAUACCAAUAAUACGAUAACUCCAAUGAUCCAAUUGUUGAAUCAAUUGAGACCUAUAAUAAUUCCUAGAAGAAAUUAAGGAAGUGUUCCAUAAAACAUUGUUUCUUUCGUUCAUGUAUUGGAUCUCAU